This 158-nucleotide unclassified non-coding RNA is filed under the name Pseudaleuria fibrillosa. RNAcentral's name for it is "partial internal transcribed spacer 2". Lineage: Eukaryota; Fungi; Ascomycota; Pezizomycetes; Pezizales; Pyronemataceae. The record is from RNAcentral.
AAAACCACUCAAGCUCUUUUGCUUGGUCAUGGAAGAUGAGUGCCUUUGUGCUCUCACUUCCGAAAUACAAUGGCGGAAAGCCCCAUGUGCCCCGGCGUAGUAAGUUUUCUUUCGCUUGGACCUUGAGGUGAUCCUGCCACAAACCCCCAAUUUUUCUA